UACGUAGGGACCGAGCGUUGUCCGGAUUCAUUGGGCGUAAAGAGCUCGUAGGCGGCUGCUCAAGUCGAAUGUGAAAACUCGAGGCUCAACCUCGAGCCUGCAUUCGAUACUGGGCGGCUAGAGUCUGGUAGGGGGAUCUGGAAUUCCUGGUGUAGCGGUGGAAUGCGCAGAUAUCAGGAGGAACACCGGUGGCGAAGGCGGGAUCCUGGGCCAGUACUGACGCUGAGGAGCGAAAGCAUGGGGAGCGAACAGG
Molecule: ribosomal RNA, 253 nt
Filed under: uncultured bacterium
Lineage: Bacteria
Description: partial 16S ribosomal RNA
Rfam family: Bacterial small subunit ribosomal RNA
Source: RNAcentral